This 397-nucleotide ribosomal RNA is filed under the name uncultured bacterium. Its description in RNAcentral is "partial 16S ribosomal RNA". It matches the Rfam family "Bacterial small subunit ribosomal RNA", at positions 523 to 918 of the family's 1533-position model. The record is from RNAcentral.
AUACGUAGGUGACAAGCGUUAUCCGGAUUUACUGGGCGUAAAGGGCGUGUAGGCGGUCUUGCAAGUCAGAAGUGAAAUUCCUGAGCUCAACUCGGGCGCUGCUUCUGAAACUGCAGGACUUGAGUGCUGGAGGGGAUAGCGGAAUUCCUAGUGGAGCGGUAAAAUGCGCAGAUAUUAGGAAGAACACCGGUGGCGAAGGCGGCUAUCUGGACAGUAACUGACGCUGAGGCGCGAAAGCGUGGGGAGCAAACAGGAUUAGAUACCCUGGUAGUCCACGCUGUAAACGAUGAAUACUAGGUGUAGGGGGUAUCGACUCCCUCUGUGCCGCAGUUAACACAAUAAGUAUUCCGCCUGGGGAGUACGGCCGCAAGGUUGAAACUCAAAUGAAUUGACGGGG